UAUCUAUAUAGUUCAUUUUGUUAAACUUUUACAAUUUUUUCUUAAUAUUAAGAAGUAAUAAUAAUAAGUAGUAAUAUAAUUUGUUUGUUUAUAUUCAUUUAUUUGAAUCCAAAUUAUAUUUACUAUUAUGCCCACAAAAGACAAUGUGUGAUGCAAAUAUGGUUAUAAUAUCUAUAUAGUUCAUUUUGUUAAACUUUUACAAUUUUUUCUUAAGGUAUAAAUGCACUUUAAUUUGUAUAAAUAUGAAUGAAUCAUCGAUAAAAUGAAAUGUACAAAAAAUAAUUUUGUAUUUACUGGUUUGAUAAAACCACAAUCUAUUGUAAUAGCAUUAGUUGAAUUUAAUAUUAGUUUAGCCUAAACUAUACUUUUAUAUAUAUAUAUAUAUAUAUUGUUAUUUGAUUGAUCAAAUUUUUAGAAGUAUAAAUAAUAUAAUUAAUCAAUUAAACAAUAUUAGAUUAUAACUGUCUUAUUCAUAAAUUUGCAUGCAUACUUUAAUCAUAUAAAAAAUCUUGUAAGUAAUAUAAUUUGUUUGUUUAUAUUAAUUUAUUUGAAUCCAAAGUAUAUUUACUAUUAUGCCCACAAAAGAUAAUGUGUGAUGCAAAUAUGGUUAUAAUAUCUAUAUAGUUCAUUUUGUUNAACUUUUACAAUUUUUUCUUAAGGUAUAAAUGCACUUUAAUUUGUAUAAAUAUCAAUGAAUCAUCGAUAAAAUGAAAUUUACAAAAAAUAAUUUUGUAUUUAUUGGUUUGAUAAAACCAAAAUCUAUUGUAAUAGCAUUAGUUGAUUUUAAUAUUAGUUUAGCCUAAAUUAUACUCAUAUAUAUAUAUAUACAUAUAUCGUAGUUUGAUUGACCAAAUUUAAGAAU
Molecule: non-coding RNA, 862 nt
Organism: Cinara cedri
Lineage: Eukaryota; Metazoa; Arthropoda; Insecta; Hemiptera; Aphididae
Source: the annotation of a GenBank genome assembly